GACGAACGCUGGCGGCGCUCCUAACACAUGCAAGUCGAACGAGCGAGAGAGAGCUUGCUUUCUCGAGCGAGUGGCGAACGGGUGAGUAACGCGUGAGGAACCUGCCUCAAAGAGGGGGACAACAGUUGGAAACGACUGCUAAUACCGCAUAAGCCCACAGGUCGGCAUCGACCAGAGGGAAAAGGAGCAAUCCGCUUUGAGAUGGCCUCGCGUCCGAUUAGCUAGUUGGUGAGGUAACGGCCCACCAAGGCGACGAUCGGUAGCCGGACUGAGAGGUUGAACGGCCACAUUGGGACUGAGACACGGCCCAGACUCCUACGGGAGGCAGCAGUGGGGAAUAUUGCACAAUGGGGGAAACCCUGAUGCAGCGACGCCGCGUGGAGGAAGAAGGUCUUCGGAUUGUAAACUCCUGUUGUUGAGGAAGAUAAUGACGGUACUCAACAAGGAAGUGACGGCUAACUACGUGCCAGCAGCCGCGGUAAAACGUAGGUCACAAGCGUUGUCCGGAAUUACUGGGUGUAAAGGGAGCGCAGGCGGGAAGACAAGUUGGAAGUGAAAUCUAUGGGCUCAACCCAUAAACUGCUUUCAAAACUGUUUUUCUUGAGUAGUGCAGAGGUAGGCGGAAUUCCCGGUGUAGCGGUGGAAUGCGUAGAUAUCGGGAGGAACACCAGUGGCGAAGGCGGCCUACUGGGCACCAACUGACGCUGAGGCUCGAAAGUGUGGGUAGCAAACAGG
This 735-nucleotide ribosomal RNA is filed under the name uncultured bacterium. RNAcentral describes it as "bacterial SSU rRNA". It matches the Rfam family "Bacterial small subunit ribosomal RNA", at positions 28 to 776 of the family's 1533-position model. The record is from RNAcentral.